Molecule: long non-coding RNA, 233 nt
Organism: Carassius auratus (goldfish)
Lineage: Eukaryota; Metazoa; Chordata; Actinopteri; Cypriniformes; Cyprinidae
Exons: 3
Source: RefSeq, a predicted model, not a curated record
UACAGCUGUAUUGAUGUAGCACUGGCCAAUAGGAGGAGACGUGCUUCCGUGACACCCAAUCUGAUGUCUGAUAAGAUGUGACAUGAGGAAAUCUGAUGAGAAUUCCUACAGUCUCUUAAAAACAGAACAAGAAACACAAUGCGACAGAUCCAGAGCCAUCUGCAGACCUAUGGCCUUCAUAUCAUUCUUACUGAGGGCUGAAGUCAUGUACAUGUGCAUCUCCAAAAAACGGC